RNAcentral lists this ribosomal RNA (500 nucleotides) under uncultured bacterium. Its description in RNAcentral is "partial 16S ribosomal RNA". It matches the Rfam family "Bacterial small subunit ribosomal RNA", at positions 29 to 523 of the family's 1533-position model. The record is from RNAcentral.
AUUGAACGCUGGCGGCAUGCCUUACACAUGCAAGUCGAACGGCAGCGCGGACUUCGGUCUGGCGGCGAGUGGCGAACGGGUGAGUAAUACAUCGGAACGUACCCUGUUGUGGGGGAUAACUAGUCGAAAGAUUAGCUAAUACCGCAUACGACCUGAGGGUGAAAGUGGGGGACCGCAAGGCCUCACGCAGCAGGAGCGGCCGAUGUCUGAUUAGCUAGUUGGGGGGGUAAAGGCCCACCAAGGCGACGAUCAGUAGCUGGUCUGAGAGGACGAGCAGCCAAACUGGGACUGAGACACGGUCCGGACUCCUACGGGGGGCAGCAGUGGGGAAUUUUGGACAAUGGGGGCAACCCUGAUCCAGCAAUGCCGCGUGUGUGAAGAAGGCCUUCGGGUUGUAAAGCACUUUUGUCCGGAAAGAAAUCGCGCUGGUUAAUACCUGGCGUGGAUGACGGUACCGGAAGAAUAAGCACCGGCUAACUACGUGCCAGCCGCCGCCGUAA